Molecule: long non-coding RNA, 417 nt
Organism: Cotesia glomerata
Lineage: Eukaryota; Metazoa; Arthropoda; Insecta; Hymenoptera; Braconidae
Exons: 2
Source: RefSeq, a predicted model, not a curated record
CCGCAGGUCAAUGAUCUAUAGAUCAUUUAUGAAAUUAUUAAUGCGAUUUUUUCAAUGAAAGCUUGAGAGUAAGUAUAGAGUGUUUGGAUUCAUUUUACUCGGGACGAAGAAUUCUAGGUCACUAGGACUUUGAUUUUAUAAAAAAACAAAAAUUUUUUUUUGGUUAAUGAUUAAUCGGUGAUUAAUCAGCACUAGGAAUUGUUUAAAUAAAUAAAUCUUUGGAUAGUUUUCUUCUCCUUAAAAUUCUGAAGAAAAUAAGCCGUCACACGAGUCAAUUGGCCGCAGGUCAAUGAUCUACAGAUCAUUCAAUAAAUUAUUAACGCGAUUUUUUCAAUGAAAUCGUGGAGAUAACUAUAGAGUGUUUGGGUUCAUUUUACUCGGGAUUUCAAAUUCUAGGUCGCCAGGAUAUUAAAAUUA